Molecule: ribosomal RNA, 667 nt
Filed under: Clostridioides difficile
Lineage: Bacteria; Bacillati; Bacillota; Clostridia; Peptostreptococcales; Peptostreptococcaceae
Description: bacterial LSU rRNA
Rfam family: Bacterial large subunit ribosomal RNA
Source: RNAcentral
CUAAGGCCAGCGAGAGAACUGUUGUUAAGGAACUCGGCAAAAUGACCCCGUAACUUAGGGAGAAGGGGUGCCACCAUAAGGUGUCCGUAGAGAAUAGGCCCAGGCGACCGUUGACCAAAAACAUAGGGUGCUGCGAAGGCGAAAGACGAUGUAUAGGAGCUGACGCCGGCCCGGUGCUGGAAGGUUAAGGGGAUCUGUUAGAGCAAUCGAAGCAGUGAACUUAAGCCCCAGUAAACGGCGGCCGUAACUAUAACGGUCCUAAGGUAGCGAAAUUCCUUGUCGGGUAAGUUCCGACCCGCACGAAAGGCGUAACGAUUUGGGCACUGUCUCAACAACAGACUCGGUGAAAUUGUAAUUCCGGUGAAGAUGCCGGAUACCUGCGACAGGACGGAAAGACCCCAUGGAGCUUUACUGUAGCUUGACAUUGGGUCUUGGUACUACAUGUACAGGAUAGGUGGGAGGCUUUGAAACCAGGACGCCAGUUUUGGCGGAGCCAUCCUUGGGAUACCACCCUUGUAGUACUGGGACUCUAACCAUAGGCCAUGAAUCUGGUCUUGGGACACUGUCAGGUGGGCAGUUUGACUGGGGCGGUCGCCUCCCAAAAGGUAACGGAGGCGCUCAAAGGUUCUCUCAGUACGGUCGGAAAUCGUACGUAGAGUGUAAAGGC